CUUAAUGAGAGUUUGAUCCUAGCUCAGGGUGAAUGCUGGCGGCGUGGAUAAGUCAUGCAAGUCGAGCGAUGCAGCUGCCAACACCAAGCUCCCAACAAACAACAGUAAUGCAGCUUUUGAGGUUGCGAUAUACUUAUCGCCAAUGGCCUUUCGUUAUCGAAAGUUUAAGGUUUACCAGGAUGCGCUUAUCCUUCAUCGGAAAGCCGCACACUUGGCAGAACGAUUCCCAAAAGAGUACUGGCAUUUGGCAGACCAGUUUCGGCGCGCGGCACUUUCAGUGACGCUAAAUAUCGCCGAGGGUUCAGCCAAAGAAUCUGAUAAAGACUUCAAUCGUUUCAUCGCAAUGUCACUCGGUUCGGUUAACGAGACCGUGGCAUGUUGCGAAGUUGCGCUUGAAGCCAAGCUGUUUUCAGGGCGCGAGUUUUCCGAAAUGGAAGCACUCGCUCUUGAAGUGGCGAAUCAGCUCGGAGGUUUAUCAAAAAAGCUUCGGGCUAAGUUGGAGGUUUAGUGUUGGUAGUUGUAUAGCGGCAAACGAGGUAGUAACACGUAGGUACGUCCCCCGAAGUCGGGCAUAGCGAGCCGAAAGGUUCGGUAAUUCCCGAUAGUCCUGUAAAGGUAAAGGCAAUAGCAAUAUUCGCCGCUUCGGGAGCGGCCUGCGUAGUAUCAGCUAGUUGGUAGGGUAAUGGCCUACCAAGGCUACGACGCUUAGGGGCGCUGAGAGGCGGACCCCCAACGAUCGGACUGAGAUACGGCCGAUACUCCUACGGGAGGCUGCAGACGAGAAUAUUCCGCAAUGGACGAAAGUCUGACGGAGCGACGCCGCGUGAUUGAUGAAGUGCUUCGGUACGUAAAAAUCUUUUAUCGGGGACGAAGUUUAUUGACGGUACCCGAUGAAUAAGGAGCUCCUAACUCUGUGCCAGCAGGAGCGGUAAUACAGAGGCUCCAAGCAUUACCCGGAAUCACUGGGCGUAAAGGGUGUCUAGGCGGCCAUAUU
This 994-nucleotide ribosomal RNA is filed under the name bacterium. Its description in RNAcentral is "bacterial SSU rRNA". It matches the Rfam family "Bacterial small subunit ribosomal RNA", at positions 2 to 585 of the family's 1533-position model. The record is from RNAcentral.